This 1208-nucleotide long non-coding RNA is filed under the name Oryzias sinensis (Chinese medaka). RNAcentral's name for it is "lncRNA (ENSOSIG00000009020.1)". The record is from RNAcentral. Lineage: Eukaryota; Metazoa; Chordata; Actinopteri; Beloniformes; Adrianichthyidae.
AGUGAUUUUUAGUUCUGAUUUGCAGUUAUAGACUGCAAUGUUUAGCUUUAAAAUAUAAACCAUCAUUUGUAGUUCUUGUUACUGAACCUGUUGUUUUUGCAGUUGAGCUACUAAACUGAAACAUCAGUUGUUUUUUUCUUUUUCUGUAUUAAUGAUUUGAUUUUUCUCUCUCUGGACACCCAGAAGUCAAAGGUACAGAAAAGAAAAGACCCUGCUGAAGACUUUCUUGAGAUGUACUGUCAUCCAAAAACAAGUUCAAGGGAUAGAAAUCCAGAAAAGACAGUAUCUGAAUUAAUGCAGGAGAUCAAGGAGCUGAAAGAGGAGAACGCUAACUUGAAGGAGAUGGUUGUUCAAGAUAUACCAGAACUCAUGAACACCAUGAAAAAUGUAAUUAAGUCGGUUGUACCUACUAAGCGAUCCAGGCUUGAGCUUAAUACACCACCGAUGCCCCCCCCAGAGUUUUAGUUCCUCAGCACCAUCCCACCCUGGAGCUACAGAAUCCAGUUCCGUGUCUGACACUGUGACUCCAUCCCAGAAGGACUCGCAGUCUUCUAAGGUGGAGAUCUACCCUGGAACUGGAGUCCUGGUGGAGAAACUGGCGUGGACGUACGCUUUAAAUUCACAUUCAGCCACUGGAUUUGUGAGACAUCUAGUCACAGCAGUCUUCCCACCAGAGAUACUGCUGGUGAGCAAUCUUCGCGGGGGCAAACGAGGUGGAGGCGAUGCUCGUCUACCAUUGGACAAGCAUAAAUUGGAUGCCAUUUACAGUGCAACUCUUAAGAGGUGGCCAGGGACACAGAUCCCCAGCAUCGGAACCACAAUAAAUGGCAAGAUUACAGAACUCCGGGCGAAAAGUAAAAAUGUUGCCGUGCCAUAAGUUGUCAUGGUUACGCUUUGGGUUGGUUCUUAAGGUUGUUUCCUGUUUUAUUUUUAAGGCCCUUCCUUGUUUGUUUAGUUUAGUUUGACUUCCCUCGUCCCAAUCUUUCCUGAUCAUUGGCACCUAUGUCUCGUCAGCCCCGUUAGUAUAUAUGUCUUGUCACUCCCUUCCUCUUGUGCUGAUCCGUACUGUUUGUUCCCCCCUUCAAGUGGUUUUGGUUCUAUUGUCAAGCUUAGAUAAGUCUGUUCUCAGUUUAUGUUACUCUUUUGGUAUUUGGAUUCCCUGUGGUACAGCGUCCUCUGUUAAAUAAAUAGAUUUUGUUUUUUCGAAC